AUUUCGAAGUUUUGACCCAGAUCAGUCGGAGGCCACGGAAUGCUCAUGAAGUCUGGAGAGUUUGUUUAGUUCCUGAGUCCGGUAGCUGCCGAGGAGCCAAAGAGAGCCGGCAACCUGUUGGGCUUGAGCUGAAGCCUUGCCUUUUCAAGUUUGUGCUGGCCUGGCCUCCCCAAGCCUCUGAGGAGGACUCAGGAGAGUGCAGCUUGCUCUGUGAGUGGGUGACAACCUCUUGGCGACUCAGGCUCAGCUGAGGAUGGUGCCAGUGUGCCGGAGACAGCCGUCAUACUGCCGGAUAGAGUGGCUCACUUGCAUGUAUUUGGAACAAAAAAAGGAGAUGCCUGGCAGCCCCGCUCUCUGCAGUGCUGUUGAGCCACCAAUUUUUGUGGUUUUGUGACCACAAGUGCUGACUGAUGCGACAUGACCCCAGUCUUGUCAGUGAAUCAUCACCAGGCUGCUUACUGGAAACUGGAUGCAGCAAGGAAAUAGGAUUUAACCGCUCUCUGCCUCCCAGGAGCCCUGAAAUCAGCAUUCCCAGAGGAAAGAAGAUGGCCAUCUGGGCUUGGCUUCCGGCUCCCCCCAUCUGGCUGGAACACACAUCAGUCACGUAAGUAGCUGUGACUCAGCACCCAGCACUGCCUUGGCAGAACCUUCCCACGUUCUGGAUUUGCACACACUGUGGUAGCGCAGCACAAGCAAGCAGGGUUAGGUAACUGGGGACCAGUGUCUGUUUGUUCAGUGGGUUUGCCUAUGGAUUUCAGAAAGAAGGAUUCCCUCACCUUCCCAUUUUCCUCCCAUGUUAUUUUUUAGGUACCAUGCUAGGCUUUAAAGACAAAGCAUCAUUUAUAGAAUGAAGUAGAAGCUGUCUUUGCAGUCUCCAAACUAUUUUUAACCAACAGCCUAUAGAUGGUAUUUAACCCUCAGGUGUGUUUGGCCUGCACGGGUUUUUGUUUUUGUUUGAGACAGGGUUUCACUCUGUAGCCCAGGCUGGAGUGCAGUGGCACGAUAUCAGCUUGCUGCAACCUCUGCCUCCCGGGCUCGAGCAGUUCUCAUGCCUCAGCCUCCUGAGUAGCUGGGACUACAGGUGCCACCACACCUGGCUAGGGUUAUUUUAAUGUAUCUGAUUUUGCAUGCAUUUAGACAAAAUAUGGCCUCUCCAGUUCACUGUAUUUCUGCUGCAUGCUGUUGCUGCUUCUCUGUCUCAGGUUUCCUGCCCAAGCCCUCCGAGCAUUUGAAUGUGCUGUGAGCAGCCUACCUCAGCCUCCUCUCUUUACACAUGAAGACACUGAGGCCCAUUCAGGGCAAGUGGCAGGUCCCUGUUCUCAGAGUUGGGGCCAAGCAGCCCUGUGUAACCUCCUCUGUGCCUUUCCCAUGGAGCACUGUGUCAUAUCACAAGUAGAACUACAAGAAGAUAUUUCUCCUCAGGGCAGAGGCUGGGUCUUCCGAUUGAAUCUCCCUUCUUUCUUCAUUGAGAUCCUCUUCUUCUGGAAGCUGGUUUCACAUGGUGGCUUAGAUUUUUCCAUCUUUGUAUCUAGCACCAUUUGAAAUCAGUGUUUUAGGAGUAAGAAUUGCAGCACAGCCAAGGGUGGACUGCAGAGGAACUGCUGCUCAUGGAACUGGCUCCUCUCCUCUUGCCACUUGAGUCUGUUCGAGAAGUCCAGGGAAGAACUUGAAGAGCAAAAUACACUCUUGAGUUUGUUGGGUUUUGGGAGAGGUGACAGUAGAGAAGGGGGUUGUGUUUAAAAUAAACACAGUGGCUUGAGCAGGGGCAGAGGUUGUGAUGCUAUUUCUGUUGACUCCUAGCAGCCAUCACCAGCAUGAAUGUGUUCGUAGGGCCUUUGAGUGUGGCGAUUGUCAUAUUCUGUUGGAUAACAAUGUAUUGGGUGUCGAUUGUCAUGGGGCAGGGGAGAGGGCAGUACACCUGGAGGACCAUUUUGUCCACAUCGACACCAUCAGUCUGCUCUUAGAGGAUGCCCUGGAGUAUUCGGCGUUGAUUGCGGGGCACCCGAAAUCAGACUUGCCACCUGGACUGUCGAGGUGCAGACCCUGGGAGCACCACUGGCCCAUCUCUUACACAGGCUGACCGAUUUCUCCUGGUGUUCAGAGUCUGUUUUUGUCUAGCACCAUUUGAAAUCGGUUAUGAUGUAGGGGGAAAAGCAGCAGCCUCGAAGCCUCAUGCCAACUCUGGGCAGCAGCAGCCUGUGGUUUCCUGGAAGAUGGAUGGGCAGAGAAUAGGGAAGGAAGAUCAUGCUUUUCCCUACUAACUUCUGUAACUGCAUGUAUGAUACAUUAUUGCAGAGGUAAGAGAUAGUUUAAUGGAUUUUUAAAAACAAAUUACUAUAAUUUAUCUGAUGUUCUCUAGUUGCAUUUUGCUGAAAUGUAGUGCUGUUCUAAAUUCUGUAAAUUGAUUGCUGUUGAAUUAUCUUUCUGUUGAGAAGAGUCUAUUCAUGCAUCCUGACCUUAAUAAAUACUAUGUUCAGUUUAUCAUGUCUGUGUUUUUCAUCUAUUAUUUCCCAUUCAUAAUUCUGUGAUGAUAAGAAGUGGGUCCUGAAAAAUUAAUUGGCUGUGCAGAUCUUGCCUACUUCAUAAAGAAUUUGAAGUAGGUUACAGCCAGCCAGACAUUAAAAAUGAAGCCCAUUAAGAGAAGAAUGAAAUUCUAUGAGCCAAGAAAUAAAAUGAGAGAAAAGAUUAGGGAAGAGAAGAAAUGUUGAAGAUCAAGGCUGAGGGAUGCUCCCUACUGAAUGGGAAAACUCCUUAGUUCCACAUGGGCUGUAGACACAGCCCUUCUGCCAGCAACUGUUCCUGCAAGGAACUGGUGCUCAACUAAACAUACUGUCACAUGGUUCCUUGAAGGGGCACAGCACUGAUUUCACUUGCAUUAUAAAAGAUUGAGUGGUGCUUUUGACUAUUAGUUUAUGUCAACACUUCAAAACAAGAUGAGCCAGUUUUUUUUUGUUUUUUUUUUUUGUUUGUUUGUUUGUUUUAGACGGAGUCUCACCCUGUCACCCAGGCUGGAGUGCAAUGGCACUGUCCCCGCUCACUGCAACCUCCGCCUCCCGGGUUCAAGCAAUUCUGCCUCAGCCUUCCGAGUAGCUGGGAUUACAGGCGUGGCACCUCCACGCCCAGCUAAUUUCUGUAUUUUGUAGUAGAGACGGGGUUUCAUCAUGUUGGCCAGGCUUGUCUCGAACUGCUGACCCCGUGAUCCACCCACCUCAGCCUCCCAAAGUGCUGGGAUUACAGGCGUGAACCACCUCGCCUGGCCCAGUGAGCCAGUUUUGUAAAGCUAUUCAGAGAUUAGCCAGAUUUGAUUUGAUAGGGGAUCAAGCUUGUAGGAUCUUCAGGAAGGCGGGCUGUGGCCCCUUGAUCAGGCUUUUUGCACAGGAGGUGCAUGACUAUGAACUACCCUCAGUAGAACUCUUUUAAGCCAGUGGCUUGCAAUAAAUGAUGGCAAAUCAGCCACCUAGGAAGCCAUUUCUAAGCCCAACCCCCUGCCACAGUCUUCCUCUAGAUGGCUGCCCUGCCCAGUGGGCUGAGAGUGGGGGGCGGAAGUAGCAUUUGCUGGGAAGACUUGCCAGUACAUAUGUUGCACCCCCUCACUGCAGCUGCAGUGCUAUUUCAGGCUGUUGAUGGAAGAACCCAUGUUCUAAUCCCCAGGAUGUGGUGGGAAGACCCUAAGUGGUGGUGUUAGUUAAGACCCUAAGUUAUAUUGUUUUGUUCACUUCCCACUGAGAUAGGCUACAAUAGUAUUAAAUACCUAUAGGUCAGACAUUUUUGGGGUCUGUUGUACUACCUACCAAUUAAACAGUUUUUGAUCCGCCCACCACGCUCAAAGCUCCAGCCUAGGUGUUGCAAAUACAGACGACAGAUUUUUGCUCUCAGGAGGCCCUGAUUCCAGUCCUCAAACGAGUAAGUGUGAAAUUGAGUGCAGCAUUAAAGCACAAAAACAAUGAUUUGAGACGUCUUUUCUAUAAAAGAAGUUUAUAGCACUCUCAUUGAAUGCUUAAAUAGUGCCACACUGCUAAGUCGUGAGAAGCAAAAUGUAACUGCGGUGCCUCAAACAGGAUUAUUUUGUUUUAUUCAUUUGGAUGCGGACAGCUCUUUAUCUAAAAUUGCCAUUCUGAGGUGGUUUUGCACAAUAAAUUGGUAAUUAUGUAGACUGUUUCUUCCAGAGACAGCAUCUUGAAUCGGGUUUAUGAAGCCAUGCUAUCAACCUAGGUAGAAAAUGCUUUGUAGGACAUGGGUCCUGCUUAUCUAAAUUUUACCAGAUUUUAUUAGCUGUAAAUUUAUAAGCGGGUCUUGGUGAAUAGAUAAUGAAAAAAAUAUUGAGUGGGGAGGCUUAUUAGACUGACAGCACCUUCAAGACUCAUGCAAGUUGGACUGGAAAAUCCCACCUGUGGAAGUAAAACACUGAUGAGUCCUUAAUAAAUAUGGAUGAGACAAGUCAAAUAUUUGGCCAAUUUAGGUGAAACAGAAAUAAGUCUAGAACUGGACAAUUAUUUGUGUAACAUACUGGCCCAGACCUUCACUUUGAGAAGCUGGUGUGUAGUUUCAGGAGAGUACCUGGCAGACUAGUGUGUCCAUACUUCGAUGGAGCUUGAGAGUUUUCCUUGAACACAAAAGUUGUAUUUUUGAGUUUAUUCUAGUAUGAUGGUGCCCUACCCUAUCUUCCUAUUCAGUUCACCCAAAGAGCCUUUAAAUUAGUGUUCCCUUGGUCCCAUCCCUACAGUCUCUGGUUUUGCUGGUCUGGGAAUGGGUCUGGACAUCACUGUUGUUUUAAAGUUGAGAGCCUCUCUUCUGUGGUCUUGUUCCUAAAACGCUUUACUACUCACUGUGGUCUGAGGGCCCCCAGCACUGGUGUGUUAGUUUCCUGUGGCUGCCCUAAAAAAUUACCACAAACAUGGUGUCUUAAAACAACACACAUUUGUACAGUUACAGAUUCCAGAAGCCUGCAAUCAGCUCACUGGACUGCAAGGGCCACCCGCCCUCUCAGAAGCGCCGGGAGAGAACAGGUUUUCUUGCCUUCUUCAGCUGCUAGAGCUGCGUUCUUUGGCUUGCACCCCCUUCCUCUGUCUUCCAAGCCAGCGGGGCAGUCUUUUGCUUCAGUGGCCAUGUUGUCUUCUGGCACAGUCACAUCUCCCCCUGCCUCCCUCUUAGAAGGACCCUUGUGGUUACAUUUAGGGCCCCCACCUGGAUAAUCCAGGAUAAUCUCCCUAUUUCAAUUUUCUUAAUCUCAUCUGUAAAGACCCUUUUGCCAUAUAAAGUAACAUUCACAGGUUCCAGGUAUUAGGACUUGGAUAUCUUUAGAGGCCAUCAUACAGCCCACCACAAACAGCUCCUUAGGCACUCAUUAGAAAUGCAGAACCUCAGGCCCCAACCGAUACCUUUUGAAUCUUCUGAUUCUAAUUUAAGAAGAUCACCAUGUAACUCACUAGCACACUAAGACUUGAGAAGCACGAUGCUAUGGGAACCUAACCAAAGAAUUCUCAAGUCCCAACUUAAAUACAAAUUUACAGAGUAUUUUUCCUAGGAACGCUUUCAGGUGGAGGAGAUUAAUCAGACGAUAGAUAAUUUUCCUGAACACCAUUCUGAAGUGCUUCUCUAAGCAUUUGUUCCUGAAUUCUCUCUCAAUGAAGCCACAAGCCCCAAACACCAGGAUUACUGUUUACAGGGGUUCCUGUUUACAGUAGUUUAGCACAGGGUUUGCCACACUGCAGCAUAUUAUUAUAGUUUAGUUUUGUAAAAAGCUACAUGAGAGAGGUAAAUCUUAUAAAUGGAGGUGGAGUCUCCUAACACCAGUUUUACCACCUCUGUACAGGUUUCCCUGGGCUAUGUACUAUCGAAUCAGGAAUCAGGAAGGGCGGCUUUUUCAAAUGUUAUCUAUACUUUUGGCAAUUUGUUCAAACGUUCUGCUGGUAUGUGAGAGGGAAGGAAAAAUUGUUUAUUGACCACAGAUCCACAAUAUUAUACUUCUCCUAUACUUAAGCAAUAAGGGACAGCAUUUAAAACUCUUUUAAAAAUGUUAAUCUUGGCUGGGCACAGUGGCUCAUGCCUGGAUCCCCAGUAAUUUGGAACACUGAGGCAGGCAGAUUGCUUGAGGCCAGGAGUUCGAGACUAGCUUGGGCAACAUGCGAGAGCCCGUCUCUACAAAAAAAAAAAAAAAAUACAAAAAUUAUCCAGGCAUGGUGGUGCACACCUGUAGUCCCAGCUGUUGGGGAAAGCUAAGUUGGGAGGAUCCCUUGAACCCAGGAGGUUGAGGCUGCAGUAAGCUGUGAUUGAGCCACUGAGCUCCAGCCUGGGUGACAGAGCGAGAUCCUGUGUCAAAAAAUAAUUUUGAUUUCACGGAAGGAGAAGAGGACUAGUCUUAUACCAUAUCCCAAAUGAAAUUGAAAAUGUCUUCUGGGAAUCACAGCAAUGACUCAAACUUCUGAAUAGUGACUAGGUUUGAGCUGGUAAGGAAGGGAUUGUCAAAUGCCGUGACAGUCCACAGGAGGGCAGCAGUGCUCCGAUUUACAAAGGAUUAGUCAUACUAGUGUAACCUUUUCUGAGUGAGCCUAGAAAUUCUGAUGAAAACAGUGUAGUCCAGGAAAAAAAAAAAAAAAAUCUGUAUGUACAAUCACUCAAUUUUGAAUCAUUUCUGGAAGUUAUUAGACUCCAUGUUAAAUCCUACUUAAGUACAAGUAUGCAAAAUUUAAAAAUAUGCAGAAAAGCUCAUUCUUGGUUAAAAUGUUAGCUGAAAGACAUUACUAAGUUUUAGAAUACCAUAGAGUUGACUAUUUCCCACAAACCCUAAAAUCUACUUGAACACCACAAAUUCAUAUUCCUUCUAAUCCCAAGUCCCUUCAGCAUUCUUACAGAUUUAUUGUUAGUUACCUUACAAAGUAACUAACUGUCCCCAUGUAUUUUAUCCCAAUUUAAAAAAUACAUUACAGUCUCAAGGUCACAUAAGAUUUUCCAAAAUGCUCUAUUCAUAGUCAAUAUAAUUUUCAGGCCGGGUGCGGUGGCUCAUGCCUGUAAUCCCAGCACUUUGGGAGGCCAAGGUGGGCGGAUCACCUGAGGUUGGGAGUUCGAGACCAGCCUGACCAACAUGGAGAAACCCCGUCUCUACUAAAAAUACAAAAUUAGCCAGACGCGGUGGUGCAUGCCUGUAAUCCCAGCUACUCAGGAGGCUGAGUCAGGAGAAUCGCUUGAACCCAGAAGGUGGAAGCUGUGGUGAGCCGAGAUAGUGCCAUUGCACUCCAGCCUGGGCAACAAGAUCGAAACUCCAUCUCAAAAUAUGUGUGUGUGUGUGUGUGUGUGUGUGUGUGUGUGUGUAUAUAUAUAUAUAUAUAUAUACACACACACACAUAUAUAUAUAAUUUUCACCUAGUGUUUUAUUAAACAGAAUGCUUCUGUAUUUUUAUGUUUAUUUGAGACAAUGCUUCUGUAUUUCUAAACAACAGCUAGCCUUGUUCAGUUAGCCAAACAACAAAACCUUAAUUCAAGUCUUCAAUGAAAUUUUCUGAUUUAAUAGGCUGAAUUAAGAAAGCCAUAAUUUUCUUCUAUAAAUAUAAGCCUUUAACUUCUAUCUUUACAAGUUUAUAUAGAAAAAUUUACUGUGGGGCUUGAGAUUUACUAAUGCAUGGGUUUUCAACCUUAGCUGCACUUUGGAAUCAUUUAGGACGCUUGGAAAUCCCUACACCCAAACCACAUCCCAGAUCAAUUACACUAGAAAUCUCUAGGGGUGGGACCCAGGUGUCUGUAAAUAUCCCCCGGUGAUUGCAAUGUGCAGCCAUGGUUGAGAAACACUGAAGCCUGCUCUGAGAAAU
This 7802-nucleotide long non-coding RNA is filed under the name Homo sapiens (human). RNAcentral describes it as "non-protein coding MIR29B2CHG:70". The stretch from base 1484 to 1554 matches the Rfam family "mir-29 microRNA precursor family". Lineage: Eukaryota; Metazoa; Chordata; Mammalia; Primates; Hominidae. The record is from RNAcentral.